GGCUUUGUUGGUCACAAAGUUGGUUUCACCAGACAUAGCAAGCGUUUCUUUCUUUUUUAUACUUAAUUUCUGAAACCUUGCAGCUAAAAUGAUGGAAUUAGACGACAAAACUGUGGCUGGUGUAGAGUUGUGUUUGUCUUCGCUACACAACUGUGUUCCGGCAUCAGACGUAGUCCGUACAAUCAUCAGCCGCUGUUAAAUUUCUGUUUUUAAUCUGCAGCCUGACGCUCCACUCAAAACUCACAAACGGGUCUCAUUAUGGCGGCUGAGUGAGCGUGAAGCUCGCGACAAACAGCCCCCUCUUCUGUCCAGGAGGAAACUCUGGCUCCAACUUAAAUUGUAAUUGAAGGGGAGACACAGUCCAGCACCUGCUGACACAGGAACAAGCAACAGACGAAAGGUUAAGUGUUGCACCCAAAUUAUACAGUUUAAUUGUGUUAAAUCAAACUAUCCUCUCACUAGAAUAGCAGAUUUCACAGUGACCGGAGUUUACUGAGCAUGUAGACCAACUCACUGUUUGUUUAAUGUGUUUUUUCCCACAUGCCUAAACAGUGUUGGUGAUGUAUUGUGUGUUUCUAUCUUCUCCCUGUCUAUCAUAUUUGUUUGUUGACUGCAGUAAGCUUUAUCAACCUGAGAACAAGAAGAUGCCCGUUCAAGAGGGUUGCUUGUUGAAGGGUCAGCGGUCUACUUUGCCUUUUUCUUGUGGCUCAUAACAUAGUGAUCUGAUCAUUACAGGUUUAGCUGCGUCUUUUUAAGGCACGUGUAAUAUCUAAACUUGAUCUUGUCGUCUCCUUGUGAUUUUACAACUGGCUACGAGAGGCGCAGCACUUUGUUGAGCCAUAGCUAACUUUCAGGAAGUGAGCCUCUCCCCUUCCUGCCAUUCGAUCAGCCCAAUGCUCUCCACACACUUAACUCGGCUCCAAGCCUGCAGAGUCGAAAGACUUCUAAUUUGAUAAUGCAGCUGUAACUGGUAUUAGCAGACCCCAGUAAGCUUUGCAAUUUAAAGGAAAUGAGUUGCCCACACGUACGAAUCCACUGAGCAUCCUUUGCAUUGGCCUCUAGAACAAUGAGCAAGGCUUUUACUAUAAAAGGAGAGACAAGGCUGUUGACGUUUUUUUUGAAAAUGGUGUGCGUAUACAACCACAUCCUGCCCUGAGUGGGAGAUGGCAUGAGCAAUGAAUGCCACAAAAGACUGACUGCUGUGAAAAUGGCCUACCUCAGAUUGAGGUACACUUUUUCUAGUUAGUUCUUGUUACUAUCAGAUCCCCAAAUGUCCAAUUUAGGUGCGAUCUUUCUAAAAACCUGGUCAAUAGUGUAUAACUGCAGGAAGAUCUCUGCAACAGUGCAGGGAGGGAUGUGUAACUUCCCCCUUCGAACACCGAUCAUUUUUUCGACUGGGCGUGCACAACUCUCGUGCACGCCCAUCUCUCUAUCGUUGCAUUUGAAAGGAAUCACAACAAUCCAUGUGUUUGAGGGCCACAGUGUUGCUGCAGAAACACUUUUUAUACGGGAAAAGUGUCCAAAUCACUUCAAAUCUCUUUGUGUGCAUCUCAUUGCACUUUUGCUGUGUCUUCUGCGUGACCCAAAGAAACCGUAGGUCCCAGAAAGAAGUAUCCUCAUAAAUCAGGUGGUCUUUCUAGAACAUCUGCUGUCCACAGAUUGCACAAUGACAGACUGCUGCUAAGUGAGGUGGAACCCAGUACAAGCAGGGAGACAUACCUUAGGGGAUUCAGGCUGUCUGCCAGAUCACACAAAGACUUUAGUCCCUCAACAUGACGGGUGUAACGGGUUCGGGUGUGUCCAACGCAGGCUCAGGCCCCAGCUGGACACCUCCCGCUCUCGUCUCAUUAAUAAUGCAGCAGCUGUACCCCGCUGGGAGGGCGGCAAUGAUGGGGAAGAACCAGACAUCUCAAGAGGCUUGAUGGGUAGCUCGUCAUUAUUUAUUAAUGGGCUUGCCUGGUCAGAGACAUUACAGUGGCCCCUUUAAUCUGUCAUGGUCUCAGACAAAGGCCUUACUGUAUGCAGUGACCACUCUGCUGCAGCGCUGAUGACGAUGCCUCAAAGAAGUGACGUUGCAUCGGCCGCUUUGCUGUGAGCUGGACCCCGGUGCAGCGUCAAAGGACAAGACUACCCUCUGUGUGUUCUUUUACUUCCAUUUCUUCAAAUCUGUGGUUAGCUUAGGGUGGACUUCCCCUGUGCACUUCCCGUAUCAAAAUCCACAUCCCCUUUACACAGUCUCUUUUUAUUGAGUUCCUUUUAAGACGAUGCUGUUAAAGAUUUUAAACAAAAUGAUCCAUCUUUACAAGGCUGUUACCUUUCUCUUCUGUCAGUUGCUCCACUUUGCUAAUCAUGUUUGCUUCUUUCUAGUUUUGUAGUCAAAGCCACAAAUUACUCAAGCAGCUCCGGCAUUCCGGGAGCCCGUGUGUGCUUUUCUCAGUAUAAUUUCAAACAUACUUAUCGUACUCUGUGUACUUCAGCUGCACGUUGCAUUGUUCUUUGAUGUCCACAGUGCCUCAAUCUGACAUUUGACCUUUCAAAGUGGCAGAAACCCCGGGUCAGCAGACGUGCCCUUUAUUCUUUUUUUUUUAACAGGGGAGGUUUUAUGCUUGGUAUAAUUAUGCAACUAUGUGCCCCAAGAGGAGAACUUAUCUCACCUUAGUGCAGCAAUCACAUAAAGUGCAUGUCUAACAGAUAAGACAUGGUGCGCCAUCACUUUAACUCAGACCAUGUGUGCUCAUGGGUGUUUUAAUGUGCCUGCACUAAUGUGGAGAUUACAGGCUCCUGAUGGUACAUGUCGAAAUGACUGUGCUGUUAUUACAUACUUGUGCGGUGCUUCAGCAAGACGAGAACAAGCAGUUUUCAUUUCCUGUUUCUAGCAGGAAUGAGCUUUGUGUUUAGUGCUGCAGGGAAACAACAUGCAGGGGUAAGAGACUCUAAAGGGAUGCCCUUUUCAACUGCAGUAAUUAACUGUAUUAAAUAUACAUUAUUUUACUUUAAGAUGAGAGUGCACUGUAGGUUUCUUGGUGUAAAGGUUUACUAUAUUCAGGUACAUUAUGACAUAUUCCCCGAUAACGAUGUUGAUAAAAAGGCAGACCUCUGCAGACAUGUAAAAGGCUUGUAUGUUAAAUCUAGGUUCCUCUGUAGCGGUGUAUAACAGGAAGUAGAAACAAGUCUGCCACAAAAGGAAGAGAGAAAAUGUCACAGAGAAGUCGGAAGUUACAGUUCAACCAAGCACUCACGCACACACACACACACACACACACACACGCACACACACACACACACACACACACACACACACACACACACACACACACAUCUUAAAGUGCUUAUCCAUAGUAGGUCUAAUCACACCCAAUCUGAAUGCCAUAUCGUUAGAUGUCUGGUUUCACAACAUGUUUUGCAGAAUAAUGCUACAUGGUUUGUGGGCUUUCAUGGAAUUAGCACAACUGUAAACACAGGGGCGACACAAAAGAUUAACCUGUAAGAUCCCUGAGUUGGGCCAAUAUUCUGCAACAUCCAGUCGGGACAUGCUGAUCAGGGGAAUUGAUGGACUGAUAUCUGAGCACAUUCCUCAGACAAUUCUCAACAAGCUGCCCUAGUGGACGUGGUAGCAAAACAUUACAAACACUGAAACAUUCAGGGCAAGUUAAAUGCAUUUGCAUUAGUAGUUCUGAACAGAUCCAAACAUGAAUCCUGUUGUUCUAAGCAAUGUGCACAAGCGGUUCCUCGGGAGCAGUGUGAAGUCUUGGGACACACACAACGUGGUCCUGAUGACCAUUUUCUUCAUUUAAAAAGUUUUUUUUGUAUAUUGUUGUUUUAUAUAUAUAUAAAUCAUCUGUUAACUUGUGCUUGAAAUGAUGAACAUGUUACUCGCCCAGUUCAUUUGAUUAAAAGUUUGCUUCGACAGUACAGCGCUGCGGCUCUCUAACCACAUCCUGUUACACACCUUUGGGACCCGCUUCAGACAAAUUCACAAAGAAGCUUCUGACACUUACAGCGACAAAGUAGUUUGAGGUGAGAGGUGAAGAAUUUGAUGUACUAAUGAAAAUUAUCAUUUAUUUUCCUGUCUAAAGUCGUAUUGCAUGACUGAUAUAAAAUGGGCGCUUUGGUUCUCUGUGUCCAAUGACAAUGCAAUGAUGUGUCAAUCAUGUAAUAUUAACCAUGUGACAAAACUGGAGUGAUGUUUUAUUUAGUUGUGGUCUUUCUUUUGUUCCUUCUUGUCUUUCUUUUUGUUACUUGUUUCAGAUAGUGACAUAGUAUGAACUGCAGUGGUAAACAAAGGCUCGGUCGAAAAGGACACAACAGAAUAAACACCUCCAGUAUAAUGGAGAAGGCCCUGGUUUGUUCUGCGAAGUCACCAUCACCAUGUUGUCAUGAAACUGUGUAUCUGUAGCGGUUGUGUUCAUUCAUUUAUACCAAGCUGUUCGGGUCAAAUGCCAAUGAAAGAACUACUGAGAGAUUCUUUACAGCCCAAUACAAAAAAAUGGAUGGAUAUCAAUUUGUGGAUGAAUAUAUCCCUUGAUGGCUCAUCGCCAGCAUUAGAUGUCAGAUAUUUCACUCAACUUACCCAUCAAAUAUGUUGUU
Non-coding RNA from Gasterosteus aculeatus aculeatus (three-spined stickleback), 4587 nucleotides. NCBI's taxonomy places the organism in Eukaryota, Metazoa, Chordata, Actinopteri, Perciformes, Gasterosteidae. The record is from RefSeq and is a predicted model, not a curated record.